This 494-nucleotide ribosomal RNA is filed under the name uncultured bacterium. RNAcentral's name for it is "partial 16S ribosomal RNA". It matches the Rfam family "Bacterial small subunit ribosomal RNA", at positions 30 to 507 of the family's 1533-position model. The record is from RNAcentral.
AUUGAACGCUGGCGGCAUGCUUUACACAUGCAAGUCGAACGGCAGCGGGGAGGAGCUUGCUUCUCUGCCGGCGAGUGGCGCACGGGUGAGUAAUACAUCGGAACGUGUCGAGAAGAGGGGGAUAACCACCCGAAAGGGUGGCUAAUACCGCAUAAAUUCUGAGGAAGAAAGCUGGGGACCUAGGAAUAGGCCUAGCGCUUUUUGAGCGGCCGAUGUCGGAUUAGCUAGUUGGUGAGGUAAAGGCUCACCAAGGCGAAGAUCUGUAGCGGGUCUGAGAGGAUGAUCCGCCACACUGGGACUGAGACACGGCCCAGACUCCUACGGGAGGCAGCAGUGGGGAAUUUUGGACAAUGGGGGCAACCCUGAUCCAGCCAUGCCGCGUGUAUGAAGAAGGCCUUAGGGUUGUAAAGUACUUUUGUUAGGGAAGAAAAGUCAGCUGUGAAUAAUGGCUGAUACUGACGGUACCUAAAGAAUAAGCACCGGCUAACUACGUG